Phyllostomus discolor (pale spear-nosed bat) is the source of this 104-nucleotide small nuclear RNA. The record is from RefSeq and is a predicted model, not a curated record. NCBI's taxonomy places the organism in Eukaryota, Metazoa, Chordata, Mammalia, Chiroptera, Phyllostomidae.
GUGCUCACUCUGGCAGCACGUGCACUAAAAUUGGUACAGUGCAAAGAUUAGCACGGCUUCUGCGCAAGGAUGACUCGCAAAUUGGUGCAGUUUUCCAUAUUCUU